RNAcentral lists this ribosomal RNA (269 nucleotides) under uncultured soil bacterium. Its description in RNAcentral is "partial 16S ribosomal RNA". It matches the Rfam family "Bacterial small subunit ribosomal RNA", at positions 26 to 294 of the family's 1533-position model. The record is from RNAcentral.
AGAUUGAACGCUGGCGGCAUGCCUUACACAUGCAAGUCGAACGGCAGCACGGGAGCAAUCCUGGUGGCGAGUGGCGAACGGGUGAGUAAUAUAUCGGAACGUGCCCAGUCGUGGGGGAUAACGCAGCGAAGCUGUGCUAAUACCGCAUACGAUCUAUGGAUGAAAGGCGGGGAUCGCAAGACCUCGCGCGAGUUGGAGCGGCCGAUAUCAGAUUAGCUUAGGUUGGGUAGGGUAAACGCCUACGAAGGCGACGAUCUGUAGCGUGGUCU